AUGCAGGAUACAAUGGGACCAAUGAGGUUUGCAUACAGUGAUACGGUCGCAAUCACAAGCUGCUUUGGAGAUAAGCUGGGCAAAGGGGGCUACGGUUCUGUGUACAAAGACAUGCUCCUUGGUGAGGUCGUUCUAGCCGUCCAGGUAUUGUGCAUAUCCAUGUGCAAUGGAGAAGAUUUCAUCAACGAGGUCUUCACCGUCGACCGGAUCCAUCAUGUGAAUGUUGUGCGCCUUGUGGGAUAUUGUUCAGAGGAACCAAAGAGGGCACUUGUGUAUGAAUACAUGCCCGGAGUCCUUGAUAAGUACAUAUUCUCACGCAAGAAGCAUUUCUCAUGGGACAAGCUCAAUGAGAUAGGUUUGGGCAUCGCCAGAGGGAUCGACUACCUACAACAGGGUUGUCGAUUGCAGUUACUACACUUUGACAUCAAUCCCCAUAACAUCCUCCUAGACAGUAAUUUCUUCCCAAAAGUGGCCAACUUUGGUAAGGCAAAACUGGAGUGA
RNAcentral lists this ribosomal RNA (501 nucleotides) under Triticum aestivum (bread wheat). Its description in RNAcentral is "partial small subunit ribosomal RNA". Lineage: Eukaryota; Viridiplantae; Streptophyta; Magnoliopsida; Poales; Poaceae. The record is from RNAcentral.